This 164-nucleotide ribosomal RNA is filed under the name Chaetothyriales sp. RNAcentral's name for it is "partial large subunit ribosomal RNA". It matches the Rfam family "Eukaryotic large subunit ribosomal RNA", at positions 99 to 261 of the family's 3401-position model. Lineage: Eukaryota; Fungi; Ascomycota; Eurotiomycetes; Chaetothyriales. The record is from RNAcentral.
CGGUAAAAGCUCAAAUUUGAAAUCUGGCCUUUCGGGGUCCGAGUUGUAAUUUGUAGAGGAUGUUUCGGGCAAGGCUGCGGCUUAAAUUUCUUGGAACAGAAUGUCAUAGAGGGUGAGAAUCCCGUCUAGAGCCGUGCGCCGCGUCCGUGUGAAGCUCCUUCGAC